This 481-nucleotide ribosomal RNA is filed under the name uncultured bacterium. RNAcentral's name for it is "bacterial SSU rRNA". It matches the Rfam family "Bacterial small subunit ribosomal RNA", at positions 28 to 493 of the family's 1533-position model. The record is from RNAcentral.
GAUGAACGCUGGCGGCGUGCCUAACACAUGCAAGUCGAGCGAAGCACUUUGCUUAGAUUCUUCGGAUGAAGAGGAUUGUGACUGAGCGGCGGACGGGUGAGUAACGCGUGGGUAACCUGCCUCAUACAGGGGGAUAACAGUUAGAAAUGACUGCUAAUACCGCAUAAGACCACAGCACCGCAUGGUGCGGGGGUAAAAACUCCGGUGGUAUGAGAUGGACCCGCGUCUGAUUAGCUAGUUGGUAAGGUAACGGCUUACCAAGGCGACGAUCAGUAGCCGACUGAGAGGGUGACCGGCACAUUGGGACUGAGACACGGUCCAAAACUCCUACGGGAGCAGCAGUGAGGAAUAUUGGUCAAUGGACGAGAGUCUGAACCAGCCAAGUAGCGUGAAGGAUGAAGGUCCUACGGAUUGUAAACUUCUUUAUAAGGGAAUAAACCCUCCCACGUGUGGAGCCUGUAUGUACCUUAUGAAUAAGCAU